UUGCUUCUCUUGAGAGCGGCGGACGGGUGAGUAAUGCCUAGGAAUCUGCCUGGUAGUGGGGGAUAACGUCCGGAAACGGACGCUAAUACCGCAUACGUCCUACGGGAGAAAGCAGGGGACCUUCGGGCCUUGCGCUAUCAGAUGAGCCUAGGUCGGAUUAGCUAGUUGGUGGGGUAAUGGCUCACCAAGGCGACGAUCCGUAACUGGUCUGAGAGGAUGAUCAGUCACACUGGAACUGAGACACGGUCCAGACUCCUACGGGAGGCAGCAGUGGGGAAUAUUGGACAAUGGGCGAAAGCCUGAUCCAGCCAUGCCGCGUGUGUGAAGAAGGUCUUCGGAUUGUAAAGCACUUUAAGUUGGGAGGAAGGGCAGUAAAUUAAUACUUUGCUGUUUUGACGUUACCGACAGAAUAAGCACCGGCUAACUCUGUGCCAGCAGCCGCGGUAAUACAGAGGGUGCAAGCGUUAAUCGGAAUUACUGGGCGUAAAGCGCGCGUAGGUGGUUCGUUAAGUUGGAUGUGAAAUCCCCGGGCUCAACCUGGGAACUGCAUUCAAAACUGACGAGCUAGAGUAUGGUAGAGGGUGGUGGAAUUUCCUGUGU
RNAcentral lists this ribosomal RNA (600 nucleotides) under uncultured bacterium. RNAcentral's name for it is "bacterial SSU rRNA". It matches the Rfam family "Bacterial small subunit ribosomal RNA", at positions 80 to 676 of the family's 1533-position model. The record is from RNAcentral.